RNAcentral lists this non-coding RNA (29 nucleotides) under Alexandrium minutum. The record is from RNAcentral. Lineage: Eukaryota; Dinophyceae; Gonyaulacales; Pyrocystaceae.
CUCUGCUCGGCGGGGCGUUCGCCACCAAC